This 2156-nucleotide long non-coding RNA is filed under the name Mus musculus (house mouse). Its description in RNAcentral is "RIKEN cDNA A430085M09 gene (A430085M09Rik)". The record is from RNAcentral. Lineage: Eukaryota; Metazoa; Chordata; Mammalia; Rodentia; Muridae.
AUAGAUAUUCAGAAUUGAGACUUUCUGUUGGUGGAUUUUCCCCUUGAUGAAUAUAAAGUGUCUUUCUUCAUCAUGCUUGAUAACUUUUGGUUUAAAGUCUAUAAUAUUGGCUAUUAGGAUGGCGACUCCUGCUUGUUUCCUUGGACCUUUCACUUGGAAGACCUUUUUCCAUCCUUUUACUCUGAGAUAGUGCCUGUCUUUUUGUCGAGAUGUAUUUCUUGUAUGCUGCAAAAUGCUGGAUUUUGUUUGCAUAUCCAGUCUGUUAGCUUAUGUCUUUUAUAGGUGAGUUGAGUCCAUUAAUAUUGAGAGAUAUUAAAGAGAGAUGACAGUUGAUUCCUGACAUGUUUGUUUUUGUUUGUGGUUUUAUGUGCUUGUGGCUCUCUGCUUUUGACUUUGUUGUGAGAUGCUUAAUAUUGUAUCCUUUUUUUGGUACAGGUAUCUUCCUUGUGUUGGAGUUUUCCUUCCAGGAUUCUCUGUAAGACUGGGUUGGUAGAUACUGUGUGAAUUUGUUUGUGUCCUGGAAUAUUUUGUUUUCUCCAUCUAUGUUGAUUGAGAGUUUGUCUGGUUAUAGCAGCCUUUGCUGGCAUUUGCGUUCUCUGAGAGAUUGCAUGACCUCUGACCAGGCUCUUCUGACUUUCAUUGUCUCUGUUGAGAAGUCUGGUGUAAUUCUUAUAGGUCUACCUUUGUUUGUUACUUGGCCUUUUUCCCUUGCAGCUUUUAAUAUUCUUUCUUUGCUCUGUGCAUUUAGUGUUUUAAUAAUUAUGUUACAAGAAGAUUUUCUUUUCUGAUCACAUUUAUUUGGUGUCCCAUUGGCUUCGUAUACCUUUAUGUCCAUCACUUUCUUUAAGUUGGGGAAGUUUUCUUCUAUGAUUUUGUUGAAGAUAUUUUCAGGUCCUUUGAGCUGGGAAUCUUCAUUCUCCUCUAUUCUGAUUUUUUAGAUUUGUUCUUUUCAUUGUGUCCUAAAAUUCCUGGAUGCUUUGGAUUAGGAGUUUUUUAUGUUUAGAAAUUUCUUUGACAGUUGUGUCAAUCUCUUCUACUGUACUUUCUACACCUGAAAUUCUUUCUUCCAUCUCUUAUAUUCUGUUGGUAAUACUUACAUCAGUAAUUCCUGACCUCUUUCCUAGGUUUUCCAUUUCCAGGUUUGCCUCCAUUUGUGUUUUCUUUAUUGUUUCUACUUCCACUUUUAGGUCUUGGAUCACUUUAUUCAAUUCCUUCUCGUGUUUACCUGUGUUUUUCUGUAUUUCUUUCAGUGAGUUAUUGAUAUCUUCCUUAAAGGACACUAUUAUCUUCAAGAGAUGGUAUUUUAGGACAGAUUCCUGAUUUUCAUGUGCAUUGGUGUAUCCAGUGCUUGCUGAGGUGGUAGAACUGGGUUCUGAUGAUGUCUACAUAUUUUGGUUUCUGCUGCUUAUAGCCCUGUGCUUUCCUUUCGCCAUCUGGAUAUCCCUGCUGUUUGUUGAUCUGGGUGACUGUAUGGAGUCUGGCUCUUUUGUCCCUUGGGUGUUUCAGAUCUCCUGGUAGGCUUGCUGCCCUGGCUAUAUCAGAGCACCUGUGGGGCCUUCCUAUUGGGGGCUCUUCACAGGGGCAGAGAAGCUGCUGAUCUGUUGCCCUGGCUGCAGUAGACCUCCUGGGAGGCCUUUAGACUGUUGGGUCUUCCUUGGAGCAGUCAAGCUGCUGUCCAACUGCACUGAGUGUAGCUGACACUCAUCUUUCCUGAGAGCAGCAGGUCCUCAAUUUAUCUGAGUGAAGAGGGUCCUCAACUGCUCAACUGCACUGAGCUCAGGGGUUCCUCUACUGCUCUGAGUACAGCAGGUCCUCUGGGAUGUAUGGAGAUAUGGAGUCUUCAGGUGUUUAUGAAUUCCCUAUAGUGUCACCGUCUCUUCCCAUCUGUGCACUGAUGUCCCAGAAUUCACACACUCCACAGAUAACCAUGGCUGCCCAAGGGAGAAUCUACUAUUGCCAAACUACUGAUUGCAUGUUGAAGCUGGAGCAGAUUGAUAGGAGAAGAUGACAACAGUGUUUUCUGAAUGAUUUGUGGUAAACAUUGAAGUGACGGUUAAAACUUCACAUAUGUGUAUUUAGAGUUUUGGAUGACAUUAAUGUCUUGUAUACAGUUUGUUCCAUGACUGAGAAAUAAUAUAUAAAGUAAUUUUAUUAAC